GAUCAUGGCUCAGGAUGAACGCUGGCGGCGUGCCUAACACAUGCAAGUCGAACGGAGCUGCUUUGAUGAAGUUUUCGGAUGGAUUUAAAACAGCUUAGUGGCGGACGGGUGAGUAACGCGUGGGUAACCUGCCUCACACUGGGGGAUAACAGUUAGAAAUAGCUGCUAAUACCGCAUAAGCGCACGGUUCUGCAUGGAACAGUGUGAAAAACUCCGGUGGUGUGAGAUGGACCCGCG
Molecule: ribosomal RNA, 237 nt
Filed under: uncultured bacterium
Lineage: Bacteria
Description: partial 16S ribosomal RNA
Rfam family: Bacterial small subunit ribosomal RNA
Source: RNAcentral